RNAcentral lists this ribosomal RNA (254 nucleotides) under uncultured bacterium. RNAcentral describes it as "partial 16S ribosomal RNA". It matches the Rfam family "Bacterial small subunit ribosomal RNA", at positions 524 to 776 of the family's 1533-position model. The record is from RNAcentral.
UACGAAGGGGGCUAGCGUUGUUCGGAUUUACUGGGCGUAAAGCGCACGUAGGCGGAUCGAUCAGUCAGGGGUGAAAUCCCAGAGCUCAACUCUGGAACUGCCUUUGAUACUGUCGAUCUGGAGUAUGGAAGAGGUGAGUGGAAUUCCGAGUGUAGAGGUGAAAUUCGUAGAUAUUCGGAGGAACACCAGUGGCGAAGGCGGCUCACUGGUCCAUUACUGACGCUGAGGUGACGAAAGCGUGGGGAGCAAACAGG